AUAUGGGCCAUUAUUUUGUUCAAAAAAAUAAUAUAGUUUGAAGUUUUUGCAUGUUUAUGUUGUUUUUUGCGAGUAUCCCACUUUGUUUGACAGUCCAUGAACACACCAUUGUACGUGCGCUAGCCUUCUCCCACUCUGCACAGAUUGUCAACUAUACUGUAUUUUUAUCGGAUUUUUUUCACUUCAUAUUUGCUCCCAAAUGCUGAUACCCUGUGGGAAUGCAUAAAGGGCUUGAAUCAUGUCAGGGUCGAGUGCUGUGCUGACCAACAUCUCCACGUAGCUCCUGAACAUCUCCCUCAUUGCCCGGUUGUUGACUCCAACCCGCAGAGGUCCUGAAAUAAAUCAAGAAUUCCCGCUGAGCUCAUGAACUGUGCUAAAGUUGGGGAUGGAUCCAGUGAGAUGCUGACCUUCAUCUUCACUGGGAGUUCCGGACUUUGUAGUUGUAGAAAGGGUUGCUGAGAAGUCUACCAAGAAAGAACCUUUGGUCCCUUGCCGAAGCUUCGAAAGCCCACUGAAGGCCCAGGUACCAAAUGCACCACCUGCCACAACUGGAACACCAGUGUCACAGUCCACAGUGAAGCCAGUUUUACAUCUUCAUAGACUGAGGAGAUGCCAACCAAGAACAAAGCCCCUGCUCUGAAAUUUCCAGCCCACAUUGUUAAGCCAGAUGCCUUCUGGACAGACGUUUGAUGGUGAGACGAGCUCAAGAUGAAGCUAUUUGGACCUAACGACAAGAAGUAUGUUUGGAGGAGUCAAGGUGAGGCUUUCAAACUUAAAAACACUGUAGCAAAUGUGGUAACAUCAUGCUUUGGAGCUGUUUUCCUACCUGUAGUACUGAUGCACUACACAAAGAACAACCUGUGAUGUCAAAUAACAAGGCAAAUGUGAGAUACAAGCUCUGAUUACAACUUUUUGAUAGUUUUACCACAAGCUAACAAAAUAUUAUCAUAUUAACAAUGGCGGCAUGGGCUAGGCAUACUCGGCCAUGAAAAUCUACCACUGGAUGCUGACCACUAGGGGGAGUGAAAAAACAAGCUGUCAUUCAUGCAUUCAUUCAUUUUACAGCAGGGGUCUCAAACGCACUUCAACUGGGGGCCACUGGAGGUAGAGUCUGGCUGCAUCAAGUAUUCAGUCACGUUUCAACCAAGCACACUCACUCACAAACGCAUUCCCCGUGACUGGGGUGAUGCCGGACUGUGGAACUUGUUUUGUAAAAAGUUACUAAAGUUAUGUGUUUUGAGUGAACAAAGUUGUUAUUUAUUAUUCCCCAAAGUAGUAUUAGUUGCCGUUUGUGUGUUGUGUGUGUGUUUACUGACCUGUUACAUGUUGUGCUGUCAUUUUUGUCUUAGCACUGUGAUUGGAGUGUUCGGAGUGAUCGGAGUGUUCUCUCUCGUGACGCCUCUGUUCAUUUGUGAGUAACAAUCUCAGUGCGAGUUCAGUGAUAGCUAUUGCUGGCCCAACUAAAGAGUCGCUUCCUUUAUGCAAGCUCACCAUCUCCCCAGGGUGUGUGGGGCCGCACCUACACUAAACUCCGAUGUUAACUCGGGGGCCACAAAAUAUGGCCCGCAGUUUAUUUGCGGCCAAUGAGCUUGGGACCCCUGUUUCAUAGCAUUGUUGAUCCUACUCGGAGUCAAGGGUGAGGUGAAGCUUAGCUAACCUUGGGUGAGAGAUGGGCUACACUCUGGACUAGUCGCCAAUAUGAUUUCACUCCACACGUAGAAGGCCAAGUCAGAUUAGAACCCCAGAACCUUCUGGCUGUGAGACAGAGAUGCUAACCACACUUCCACCAUCCAGUCAAUAGGCUCUGAUGAUUAAUCUAUGACUGACUGGCAAUAUUUGUAUUGUAAUACUUCACAUCAAAACCCACAAACAGAAAAUAAAUACAAAUAUGUUAAUUGGCGAUAUAGUAAUUGCCUCCGCAACCAUUCAUCUAAACGUUUAAAUGAUUAAUACUUAUUUCUCAUCACUGCUACACCACUACACACAUAGUACUGCAGACAGUUCGGCCACUUUUCUUUUCAUAUUGGUAAUAAAACUUGACGGCAGGUGGCAGCAAGGAUCCUGCGCUGAAAAUACAGUAACCAUGGCAACGGCUGCCCUGGAUGAAAUCAUGAAGGAGGAGGACUGCUUCCAAAUUAUUCAACGUCACCUGAAAUCAUCAGCUAGAUAGCGGCAACUUGGACACAGAUGUGUAACAUCCAAACACAUCAAAACCGCUUUUGGAAUGGAUAAAGCAGGCUAAACAUGAAGCUUCUGGAACACCCUUCUCAAAGACCCGAGUUAAACUCGUGUGGACUAUGCUUGAAAGGUAGUCCAUGCGCAUGACCAAAAACUGGACUUUGUCCGGCCAAGAUGAUUGGUGACAUAUCCAGCCAGACUUAUGCCUCAAGCUUACUGGUGGCUACAAGAAGCAAGAUGAAACAUGGCUAAGGGAUAAUUAGCCAAAUAUUAGUAGGUGUAUAUGUAUAGAUUUGAUCCUGUGUGAAUUAGACACAAUUCUAUUCAAUUUUUUUUUUUUUUUUUUUAAAUCAUUCAAUACCUAAGACGUAGUUAUACAUUUUUAUAAACCCGAACACAUACUUGUAGAAAGAUCAGUCAAAAUCAGUCAAUGGCCGGUACUGAAGGGCUUGUCUUUUGAAAAAUGGCUGGGAUUGAAUGAGUUAAAUAUCAUUCAAGAUGGAGAAAAACAUUGGUUCAAAUAAAUCAUUA
Molecule: long non-coding RNA, 2709 nt
Organism: Dunckerocampus dactyliophorus (ringed pipefish)
Lineage: Eukaryota; Metazoa; Chordata; Actinopteri; Syngnathiformes; Syngnathidae
Exons: 4
Source: RefSeq, a predicted model, not a curated record